RNAcentral lists this ribosomal RNA (199 nucleotides) under uncultured bacterium. Its description in RNAcentral is "partial 16S ribosomal RNA". It matches the Rfam family "Bacterial small subunit ribosomal RNA", at positions 1294 to 1500 of the family's 1533-position model. The record is from RNAcentral.
CGGAUUGGAGUCUGCAACCCGACUCCAUGAAGCUGGAUUCGCUAGUAAUCGCGCAUCAGCCACGGCGCGGUGAAUACGUUCCCGGGCCUUGUACACACCGCCCGUCAAGCCAUGGAAGCCGGGAGUGCCUGAAGUGCGUGAGCGCAAGCAGCGCCCUAAGGUAAAACCGGUGACUGGGGCUAAGUCGUAACAAGGUAUC